RNAcentral lists this ribosomal RNA (468 nucleotides) under uncultured bacterium. RNAcentral's name for it is "partial 16S ribosomal RNA". It matches the Rfam family "Bacterial small subunit ribosomal RNA", at positions 28 to 507 of the family's 1533-position model. The record is from RNAcentral.
GACGAACGCUGGCGGCGUGCUUAACACAUGCCAGUCGAACGGAAAGGCCCUGCUUUUGUGGGGUGCUCGAGUGGCGAACGGGUGAGUAACACGUGAGUAACCUGCCCUUGACUUUGGGAUAACUUCAGGAAACUGGGGCUAAUACCGGAUAGGAGCUCCUGCUGCAUGGUGGGGGUUGGAAAGUUUCGGCGGUUGGGGAUGGACUCGCGGCUUAUCAGCUUGUUGGUGGGGUAGUGGCUUACCAAGGCUUUGGCGGGUAGCCGGCCUGAGAGGGUGACCGGCCACAUUGGGACUGAGAUACGGCCCAGACUCCUACGGGAGGCAGCAGUGGGGAAUAUUGCACAAUGGGCGGAAGCCUGAUGCAGCAACGCCGCGUGCGGGAUGACGGCCUUCGGGUUGUAAACCGCUUUCGCCUGUGACGAAGCGUGAGUGACGGUAAUGGGUAAAGAAGCACCGGCUAACUACGUG